RNAcentral lists this ribosomal RNA (668 nucleotides) under uncultured prokaryote. RNAcentral describes it as "bacterial SSU rRNA". It matches the Rfam family "Bacterial small subunit ribosomal RNA", at positions 524 to 1189 of the family's 1533-position model. The record is from RNAcentral.
UACGGAGGGUGCAAGCGUUACUCGGAAUCACUGGGCGUAAAGCGAGCGCAGGCGGCCUGUCAAGUCCUGAGUGAAAUCCACUGGUUCAACCAGUGAACUGCUUGGGAAACUGACAGACUAGAGUGCGGGAGAGGCAGGUGGAAUUUCUGGUGUAGGGGUAAAAUCCGUAGAGAUCACAAGGAAUACUCAUUGCGAAGGCGACCUGCUGGAACGUAACUGACGCUGAGGCUCGAAAGCGUGGGGAGCAAACAGGAUUAGAUACCCUGGUAGUCCACGCCCUAAACGAUGGAUGCUAGUUGCUGUGGUGCUCGUCAUUGCAGUAAUGCAGCUAACGCAUUAAGCAUCCCGCCUGGGGAGUACGGUCGCAAGAUUAAAACUCAAAGGAAUAGACGGGGACCCGCACAAGCGGUGGAGCAUGUGGUUUAAUUCGAAGAUACGCGAAGAGCCUUACCCGGGUUUGACAUGGUAGGAACCCUGCAGAAGUGUGGGGGUGCUAGCUUGCUAGAGCCUACACACAGGUGCUGCACGGCUGUCGUCAGCUCGUGUCGUGAAAUGUUGGGUUAAGUCCCGCAACGAGCGCAACCCUCGUUCUUAGUUGCCAGCGGUUCGGCCGGGAACUCUAAGAAGACUGCCUUCGCAAGGAGGAGGAAGGUGAGGACGACGUCAAG